AUGCUGCGGCUCAGAGGGCGACACGGGCAUUGCCGACCCCUGGGGAAGGGAGGGCAGCUUCGCAGCUGCGCGAGGAAAAACCCUUCCCGUCGGCGUCCCCUGCCUUCCAACCCCCUCCCCCCUACCUGCGUGGCUUUGUGGAACUGCUUCUUCAGGCCCGCCACAGACAUCUCGGCCGCUGGAUCACGCCCGCCCGGAACGCCGCCGCGAGGGAAGGAUGCUGGGCGCGGGACCGAACCUUCCGACGCGACUCGCUUCUCGGUCACCCCUCCUGCUGCCGGAGUGGGUGCUCAGGUGUUGGGCUCUCUGGUGCAGAAAGGCCCUGACGUCAGAGCGAGGGAACCCGGCCUCUUAAAGGGAACGCGCUCUCCGCUCUCGCCUCUCCCUCCGUGGGGAGCAAGUUUCCUCCGCCCGCAACCUCGGACUUGCUAUAUUAUUAUUAUUAUUAUUGUUGUUGUUGUUGUUGUUGUUGAGCUGGACAGGACCAGAUCCCCUUGCUGGCAGGUUUGCUCUGAAAAAAGUCCCAGUCGUGAGAGUCCUACUGCGGUGCAGCGGGCGAAGUGGUUACAUCCUCGUUUGAACCCCUCCGGGAACCCUUGCCUCCUGUGAAACCCCGACGAGGGUCGCCUUAAAUCCGGAGCGGUCUCAGAGCACCCAACGAAGGCGAGGUUACUCGCUGAAGACCGGGGAGUCGCGCCACCCGCUACAUCAACUCGGGGCCAUCAUCAGGACUGGACUCCAGUCCCGAGUGAGUGAGUGUUUGGGGAACAGCAGCGGCGAGCGUCUGGAUGCAUGCCUGGGUCCUGGAUGCAAACAUUGCUCAAGCCGAGCACACUCACGUCCAGAGCCUGGGCGUGCGACGGGGGCACUUGGGACCCAUCGGAGAGCCAGUUUUCUUCAGCCUGGCGUAGAACCAGCUUCAUUGGGAGCCGGUUCUAGAUAUGCGGUACAGGGGAAGACUACCUGUAAGGGCUUGUUUAUAACUGCAAGAAGAUUUGCCCCGUUUUCUUUUUAAGGGAAGGAACUUUAUUUAGGAGGACCUGUUGUGUAAGACAUACUAUUUCUGUACAGUAUCUUAUACAGUAUGCAUCAAAUCCAGCUGUUUCAACACUAGUAUGAGUAGCUCUCUGUAAUGGAGUGAAAAACAGCAUUGGUCGGCACCGUUUUAUAUGACUUACAAGCCAUUCAUUAUGGUCUUAAGUCCAAAACCAGCCGCUGAUUUCUCAGUCUUCAGGACGGAAUGCUGGACAGAUCUAAAAUUAAAAAUAUCCAACAGGAGGCAAAUGAAAACGAUCAAAAUACUUGGACCUAUUGACGAUUGGCAUAGGUAGAUGGGAAUCUGUGAAAGCUGCUACAGCGAUGCCACCUUCCAUGUCCAUACCAUUUAUUUUCCUCCCCACUCCCCAUCCUUCUCUCUUAUGUGUUUUCUCCUGUCUGUUCUUGUAUGGAGACAAACCUGAAUGCCCCCUGUAGUGCAGAACUAGUUGCAGUUGUUGGUGUAUGUAGCAGGAAACCAAGCAGGAUAUGGGAGGUCAAUGCUGGAGAAGGCAAGGGUCAAAGAGAGACAUGAGUUUGUAUCUUUAAAAAAAGAAUAAAAACUUUAAAUAAAGAUAUAUAAAAAAUCA
This is a long non-coding RNA of Pogona vitticeps (central bearded dragon), 1625 nucleotides long. NCBI's taxonomy places the organism in Eukaryota, Metazoa, Chordata, Lepidosauria, Squamata, Agamidae. The record is from Ensembl.